RNAcentral lists this ribosomal RNA (887 nucleotides) under uncultured archaeon. RNAcentral's name for it is "bacterial SSU rRNA". It matches the Rfam family "Archaeal small subunit ribosomal RNA", at positions 27 to 922 of the family's 1478-position model. The record is from RNAcentral.
GGGGUGUCGGAGGGGUCUAGCAUGUGAGUCAUUGUAGCAAUACAAGGCAGACGGCUCAGUAACACGUAGUCAACCUACCCUAUGGACGUGGAUAACCUCGGGAAACUGAGGAUAAUCCGCGAUAGAUCAUAACUCCUGGAAUUGGUUUAUGGUCAAAAUGAUUCGUCGCCGUAGGAUGGGACUGCGGCCUAUCAGCUUGUUGGUGAGGUAAUGGCCCACCAAGGCUAUUACAGGUACGGGCUCUGAGAGGAGAAGCCCGGAGAUGGGUACUGAGACACGGACCCAGGCCCUAUGGGGCGCAGCAGGCGAGAAACCUUUGCAAUGUGCGCAAGCACGACAAGGUUAAUCCGAGUGUUUCCUGCUAAAGGAAUCUUUUGUUAGUCGUAAAACCACUAGUGAAUAAGGGGUGGGCAAGUUCUGGUGUCAGCCGCCGCGGUAAAACCAGCACCUCAAGUGGUCAGGAGGAUUAUUGGGCCUAAAGCAUCCGUAGCCGGCUUUACAAGUUUCCGGUUAAAUCCAUUCGCUCAACGAAUGGGCUGCCGGAAAUACUACAUAGCUAGGGAGUGGGAGAGGUAGACGGUAUUCGGUAGGAAGGGGUAAAAUCCUUUGAUCUAUUGAGGACCACCUAUGGCGAAGGCAGUCUACCAGAACACGUUCGACAGUGAGGGAUGAAAGCUGGGGGAGCAAACCGGAUUAGAUACCCGGGUAGUCCCAGCUGUAAACGAUGCAGACUCGGUGAUGCACUGGCUUGUGGCCAGUGCAGUGCCGCAGGGAAGCCGUUAAGUUUGCCGCCUGGGAAGUACGUACGCAAGUAUGAAACUUAAAGGAAUUGGCGGGGGAGCACCACAAGGGGUGAAGCCUGCGGUUCAAUUGGAUUCAACGCCGGG